CCUACGGGUGGCUGCAGUGGGGAAUCUUGCGCAAUGGACGAAAGUCUGACGCAGCCACGCCGCGUGAGUGAAGAAGGCCUUCGGGUUGUAAAGCUCUGUCGGGCGGGACGAAAAGCUAAACAGUUAAGAGCUGGUUAGCCUGACGGUACCGCCAAAGGAAGCACCGGCUAACUUCGUGCCAGCAGCCGCGGUAAUACGAGGGGUGCAAGCGUUGCUCGGAAUUAUUGGGCGUAAAGGGCAGGUAGGUGGUCCCGUUUGUCAGAGGUGAAAGCCUU
RNAcentral lists this ribosomal RNA (275 nucleotides) under uncultured bacterium. RNAcentral describes it as "partial 16S ribosomal RNA". It matches the Rfam family "Bacterial small subunit ribosomal RNA", at positions 338 to 604 of the family's 1533-position model. The record is from RNAcentral.